GGCUAUAAAUUGCCAGGCAAUUCAGGCGUCCGGUGUGCUGCUCCAGACCUCUGCCUUGGAGCUGCUCCCAGGAGCCUCCUGCUUGCUGUGCAGCAGGUCAGGGGGAAGAGUGGUGCUGAGGGGUAACUCCUACCAGCCAAAAACCAACACUGAAGCCAGACAGCUUGCUACUGAUGGCCCAUCAAAGGCAAUUGGCUCUCUCAAUGGGCCACAGAAGAAACUCAUCCCUCCCAUUAAAUCUUCCUGUGGAUGCCUUAGCCUCCACGUGGGCAAUGGCUGCUCCUGUGAGUCAAAGCCAUGUAAGGGCAUGUGACCCUGGACUCCAGCUUGUGCCUGUAAUUUUCCACACGCUUACAUUGUGAGCUUGGUUUGGGACAGUAAAAAUCCAUCCACAUGGGAAAGGGUAUAAAAGACUCUAGAAACAUCUCCAUUUUGUCAUCAUUUCCCUUUUCAUUUCUCUGGACUGGAUUUUUAACAAGGAAGCUCUGAACAAGGACUGGUGACCCCGCAAGCUGUUUGGAUAAUUUCCAGAAAGACUUUUGCAAACUAGCAGCUUCUUCAAUCACUGCUUCAAACUUGAUAUAAGAACUUUGCAGUCACUUGUAUGUACAGGAUUUCCUGAACUAUGUUAACUCUCUACUUCUUUUCUCUUAAAAUUAGACCUUUAGAUUUUAGUUAGUAAAGGGUUGGCAACAGCAUGAUUAUUGGGUAAGAGCUGAGUUAUAUAUUGACCUGGUUGUGUGGCUGAUCUCUUGAGACCAGAAGAAGCCUUUGUUCGAUAAAACUGGUUUUCAAUAAUCA
This is a long non-coding RNA of Mauremys reevesii (Reeves's turtle), 801 nucleotides long. RefSeq lists it as uncharacterized. Lineage: Eukaryota; Metazoa; Chordata; Testudines; Geoemydidae. The transcript is spliced from 2 exons. The record is from RefSeq and is a predicted model, not a curated record.